Molecule: ribosomal RNA, 206 nt
Filed under: uncultured bacterium
Lineage: Bacteria
Description: partial 16S ribosomal RNA
Rfam family: Bacterial small subunit ribosomal RNA
Source: RNAcentral
GCCUCCCUCCGCGCCAUCAGACUCCUACGGGAGGGCAGCAGUGGGGAAUCUUGCACAAUGGGCGAAAGCCUGAUGCAGCGACGCCGCGUGGGGAUGAAGCUUCUCGGAGUGUAAACCCUUUCGACCGGACGAAAACCUCGCAAGAGGAUUCGACGGUACGGGUAUAAGAAGCCCGGCUAACUACGUGCCAGCCGCCGCGGUAAUAC